GAUGAACGCUGGCGGCGUGCCUAAUACAUGCAAGUCGAGCGAACAGACGAGGAGCUUGCUCCUCUGACGUUAGCGGCGGACGGGUGAGUAACACGUGGAUAACCUACCUAUAAGACUGGGAUAACUUCGGGAAACCGGAGCUAAUACCGGAUAAUAUAUUGAACCGCAUGGUUCAAUAGUGAAAGACGGUUUUGCUGUCACUUAUAGAUGGAUCCGCGCCGCAUUAGCUAGUUGGUAAGGUAACGGCUUACCAAGGCAACGAUGCGUAGCCGACCUGAGAGGGUGAUCAGCCACACUGGAACGGAGACACGGUCCAGACUCCUACGGGAGGCAGCAGUAGGGAAUCUUCCGCAAUGGGCGAAAUCUUGACGGAGCAACGCCGCGUGAGUGAUGAAGGUCUUCGGAUCGUAAAACUCUGUUAUUAGGGAAGAACAAAUGUGUAAGUAACUAUGCACGUCUUGACGGUACCUAAUCAGAAAGCCACGGCUAACUACGUG
RNAcentral lists this ribosomal RNA (497 nucleotides) under uncultured bacterium. RNAcentral's name for it is "partial 16S ribosomal RNA". It matches the Rfam family "Bacterial small subunit ribosomal RNA", at positions 28 to 507 of the family's 1533-position model. The record is from RNAcentral.